UUUUAACGUUAGUAAUAUAAACUAACCUAGUUAGUUAAUUGUAAAGUUGGAUCCUUUUAAAAACAUCAAGACAUAGAUAACCAAGUUAAGCUAAGUGUUUAAUUAACUCUUAAGUUGGGGGACUAUUGGUGUAAAUAAUGAAAGUAUAACAAAAAAAUCUAACCCUAACUCUUUUAUGAUGCAGCCACAACCCAAACCAGACCCCAGAUUCGUUCCCUCUCUUCCUCGUGAGAUUCCGGCGACCGGAGCCGUGAUCCAGCGUCUCAGAUUCCGGCGCUGCUCAUCUCCGGCCACACCCACACCUUUCGACCAUCCUCAUCCUCCCUUUUCCUCACUCACACCCGUAAGCCCCUCCUCUCCGACGACCGAAGAACGGAGCCCCGGCGGCUCGCUCCUUGCCGGCGACGAGCACAGCACCACCCCACGGUCAACCAUCUCCACUCUCCCUCUCCUGUCUCUUCGUCGGGUGGCAAACAUGGCAGCGCCGCCGGAAGCGGAAGAGUGGCGGCAGUGGUUAUCAAGGUCUGUCGGGUUUCGCGCUCCGAUCUGAGUAUGAUCGGUCAGAUUUGAUUCGGGUCCUUCCAUGGUUCAGCAAGUUCGAGUCCGGUUCAGUCGACCACCGGCCACCUUCUGUUCUCCGACAAGCACCACAACACCCUCCCGUCGCCGCUUCGCGUGACCUCGGUGUUCCGUCCUCCUAUCUCAUCAACUCGUCAUACUUGGAUAAUCGGAAGAAAUUGCAAUAAUGUGGAUGAGGACGAUGCUAAGAAAUGAAGUAGCGUUGAUGCCUAGAUACACAU
Helianthus annuus (common sunflower) is the source of this 800-nucleotide long non-coding RNA. RefSeq lists it as uncharacterized. NCBI's taxonomy places the organism in Eukaryota, Viridiplantae, Streptophyta, Magnoliopsida, Asterales, Asteraceae. The transcript has 3 exons. The record is from RefSeq and is a predicted model, not a curated record.